Camellia sinensis is the source of this 347-nucleotide non-coding RNA. The record is from RefSeq and is a predicted model, not a curated record. Lineage: Eukaryota; Viridiplantae; Streptophyta; Magnoliopsida; Ericales; Theaceae.
ACGCUAUUGGUGCAGGUGCAGGGGUUGCAACCACAGUGCUUGCCACAAGCACUUCUUGUGGUCUACUACACUGGGAUCAUCCCCAGUCUACUACACUGGGAUCAUCCCCAGUAGACGUGAUUGCAAUCAGUGCUCUUAUAAUAUAUGUGACCCGUGUAGCUAGGGUUACAAACAGACAUGGGAUAGGUAUCAACUUCUGGUCAACAAGACACUUUAUGAGAAAACCAUAGCAAGUGGCUUUGGCUCAGUUCACUUUCUUCUGGAUGCUUCUGAACAGCAGCAAUACAAGGAAGCCAUAUUGGCUUAUGCAAUCUUGCUUAAAGCAGAGACUGGCCAGGUUUGUCUUG